This 255-nucleotide ribosomal RNA is filed under the name uncultured bacterium. RNAcentral describes it as "partial 16S ribosomal RNA". It matches the Rfam family "Bacterial small subunit ribosomal RNA", at positions 524 to 776 of the family's 1533-position model. The record is from RNAcentral.
UACGUAGGGGGCAAGCGUUGUCCGGAUUUAUUGGGCGUAAAGAGCGUGUAGGCGGCCACACAGGUCUGCUGUGAAAAACUCGAGGCUCAACCUCGAGCUGUCGGUGGAAACCCGUGUGGCUAGAGUCCGGAAGAGGAGAGUGGAAUUCCCGGUGUAGCGGUGAAAUGCGCAGAUAUCGGGAAGAACACCCGUGGCGAAGGCGGCUCUCUGGGACGGUACUGACGCUGAGACGCGAAAGCGUGGGGAGCGAACAGG